Molecule: RNA transcript, 1487 nt
Organism: Lycium barbarum (goji berry)
Lineage: Eukaryota; Viridiplantae; Streptophyta; Magnoliopsida; Solanales; Solanaceae
Gene name: peptidyl-prolyl cis-trans isomerase CYP19-4-like
Exons: 4
Source: RefSeq, a predicted model, not a curated record
AACAGAAUUUCAUUUUGCAACUUAAAUUUUAUUUUCCAAAUAUGUCUUUCAAAUUAAGUUCAAAAUAUUACUUUCUUUUCGAAUAUCGCCAGAUUCAUGUAAGUAGUCUUUUUGUUUUCUUUUUUCUUUUUCUCUCAGCGGCAGCACAGUGAAGACCAAGAAAAUGGCCAACAGAAACAAAUUAUCUCCUUUUCUUCUUAUCUGGAUCCUCGUUCUAUUUGGAACCCUAAUUUUCAUUCUGAACCGAUUAGGUGAUACAGGGGUCUCAUCGGAGCGUAAAGACAUUAAUGUCGACCAGAAUCAUGAGGUCGUAUUGUCAUGGGCCUCUUUGGCAAAAUUGUCCCGAAGACAGCAGAAAACUUCAGAGCUCUUUGCACGGGUAGCCAAGUAACUUUUGUUCCCUCUUCAUACUCAUGCAUUUAACUACUAUUUCUCAUGCAAAUUUACAAAAAAUGUAUCAUAAAUGAGUUCCAUUUUUCUGAGAGAUUCAGAUCCACAACAAUACUCUUUCUCUGAACAUCAAGUUAAUAAUUAAGGAUACCAUUCUGGAGAUUCUUACAAAUUUGUGCUCUCGGAUAACAUGACUAAUUUCAUUACUUUAGGAGGGAACCCAGCAGUGAAAUAAAAGCAAUAACCAAGCUAGUUAUAUUGUAUUGACAGAAACAGAGAAUACUUAUAUUACAUUUGAGGAAGAAAGAGAGAUAUUCUAUGCUGAAAAGGAUUAAACUCAUGUCCGUGCUGUAAGGUAUGUUGGAGCCAAAAGCAGCUACUCCUAAUUGCCACAGGUCAUUGCUGAUGCAAGGACUAAAAUGCUCUUUCUUCUUUUAGUAGUUUAUUUCAAGACACAACUACAUUUGCAUGAGGGAAUUUUUGUUAUCUAUUUGUUUCUAUGAUGUCCCUUCUUUUCUAGGGUGUUUGGCCAAGCUUCUGGGAAGCCAAAAGUAUUAAUUAAGGUGUUUGACUAAGCUUUUAGGGAAAAAAUAAGUGCUUUUGAAUAGUAGCAAAAACUGUUUCUGAGAAGCUGGAAAAAGUAGUUUUUCCGGCGAUGCACUUUUGGAACCUUGGUCAAGCAUAAAUCGGUGCUUUGAUAUUGGUAAUAGCGUUUUUUAAAAUUGAAUAGCCAAGCACAAACUUCUACUUUUUUCGAGAAACUCUCCUACAAAAAUACUUUUCAAAAUAAGUAGAUUUUGGAAGCUUGAGCAAACAAUCUAUUCACUUCUCCUUAAUCUCUUCUAGACAUGGAGGAAGAAAAGGAAAACCAUCAGCUGAGGGGGAAUCAUUUCAGAUUUCAGAUACUGCUUGCUAGUUAUUUAGGGGGUCUUUUGGCUAGAAUGACGUCAGACAAGGAGGGUUGUAAAGUAUAGAUAUCAAGCACUUGCCUCAGAUGGAAAAUAAAUGCAUAAAGCUCACCACAUUUCUACUGCAUUAGCAUCCAUUAUGCACACUAAUGUUAAAGUUACCAAUCUGGCAAACAUAUAUCACUCAAC